GCCCCCAUAGCUUAAGGGAUAAAGCUAUGCUCCGCUAAAGCACAGAUGGUGGUUCGAAUCCGCCUGGGGGCA
Molecule: transfer RNA, 72 nt
Filed under: Candidatus Scalindua sp.
Lineage: Bacteria; Pseudomonadati; Planctomycetota; Candidatus Brocadiia; Candidatus Brocadiales; Candidatus Scalinduaceae
Description: tRNA-Ser
Rfam family: tRNA
About the family: Transfer RNA (tRNA) molecules are approximately 80 nucleotides in length. Their secondary structure includes four short double-helical elements and three loops (D, anti-codon, and T loops).
Source: RNAcentral